Heterocephalus glaber (naked mole-rat) is the source of this 510-nucleotide non-coding RNA. NCBI's taxonomy places the organism in Eukaryota, Metazoa, Chordata, Mammalia, Rodentia, Bathyergidae. The record is from RefSeq and is a predicted model, not a curated record.
AGUCUCUGUGCAUGGUUCUAGAGACUCAUCUCUGCUGACCAUAGAUGCUUGACGUGGUGACACUUCCUUGUCGAGAUCCUUCUCAGUUCCUCCUCCAGGCUACCUUCCUUCAUUUGUUGAGUGACUAGAGAAAACUUUACAUUAACAAGGAAGAGAAAGUCUCCAGUGCUCUUCAAGAGGACCUCUGGAAAGAAUAAGGAAAAGAGGAAAGAUGAAUGAGGAAUGAGUACUUUCCAGUUUAUGUAAUGAGCAUCAGACAGUGGGACUGGAUAACUGUGAGCUGCUUGAAGGAGCACUACAAAACUUCUUAUUGUGCGCCAUCAUUCCCAAGGUGAAUUGUUUCCAUAGUUGAGGAAUUAUCCACACUUAAAGGAGGUGGUCAGGUGAGCAGAGUUCUAGACCAGCAGCAGAAAAACGAUGAGACCAAUGAAGCCCAGAUCUCCAGAAUAUAAAAGGCUUCUAGCUGCAAUAGCAUGUUAGAUUUGGCUAGGAAGCCAGUGUUCCUCUCUU